RNAcentral lists this ribosomal RNA (307 nucleotides) under uncultured eukaryote. Its description in RNAcentral is "partial 18S ribosomal RNA". It matches the Rfam family "Eukaryotic small subunit ribosomal RNA", at positions 1470 to 1796 of the family's 1831-position model. The record is from RNAcentral.
CCCUUAGACGUUCUGGGCCGCACGCGCGCUACACUGACGAAGGCAACGAGCUUUCCUUUACCGAAAGGUACGGGUAAUCUUUUGAAACUUCGUCGUGCUGGGGAUAGAUCCUUGCAAUUUUUGAUCUUAAACGAGGAAUGCCUAGUAAGCGCAAGUCAUCAACUUGCGUUGAUUACGUCCCUGCCCUUUGUACACACCGCCCGUCGCUACUACCGAUUGAAUGGUUUAGUGAGGCCUUCGGAUCCGCGAUUCGUUUGUGGAGAAGUUGGACAAACUCAGUCAUUUAGAGGAAGUAAAAGUCGUAACA